GACCUCAAAGAGACUUGGUUUGUAAUGGUAAGAUCACCUGAUUUGAUCUCCAUGUCUUCAUCUUCGCUCGGACCAUCAAUGACUGGGUUAUCUGCUGCAUGAUAUCAGUAUCAAUAAAAACAUUAACAACCUUAAGAACAAAAGAUGAAAUAGGUUUCUUUCUCAUACUGAGUUGACAGCCAACUGUACUACAACAACUGUUGCAUUGUUACAUUUAGAGAGGAAAGAAUUAAAUUGCCUCUUUAAGAAGAACCCAAAAAUGGUUGUUGUGAUCGAAAACGAUUUGGUCUGGUCACUAGACAGAAGACCCCGUUAACAUUCGACUUUCACACACAUCUUCUGGAGAUAUAAAAUCCUUGAGAGGGACUCACAGAGAAGACCUGAUAUGUUGAUUUAAUUAAAUCAUGAAGCCGGAUAUAUCAAACUCCAAAUCUCUUUUCCAGUGAGUACAAUGAUAGAAUCGAUCUGGAUUUUUAUUUGGAAAUGGAUCUAUCUCUUUAUCAAUAUAAAAGGAAUCAGGUAUUCAAACUAUAAGUGUUACUUCUCUGAUGCAUCAUUUACACCCAUCUAUAGCACAGGAAUAUAUAUAGCUUAGAAGAUAAUUUGCACGUUCAGCAGUACCUAUGCUGUUGGAAGUGAAUAGUGUAGGAAAACCUACAAAGGAAAGAAUACAUGAUUCAAGGAAAACAAAUUUAAUUCAUUGCCCCAUAGAUCAACCAAGUGGGAUCUCUCCCACGUACCAACCACUCUGUUCUUGAUGUGUGUAUGGGCAAAUAAUAAUUAGUCCUCCUGUCUGUUAUCGUAGCAAUUGUCGAUAUGAUAUAUGUAUCCAAGACAUGCAUCAUUAUACCUUUAACUCAGAAAAAUAGUCACAUGUAAUAUUGUUUAAGAUUGUCUUACAUAUAUUUGAAGAAGUGGCUGACUCCUUCACGCCCUCAAGCUUUCUUUCCUGAGGAGAGUCCAGUAGAUCAGGGUAAUAAACAGUAUGAACAGUGAGCCAGCGCUUGUCCAUGGCAAAGCUGC
Molecule: long non-coding RNA, 1023 nt
Filed under: Aquilegia coerulea
Lineage: Eukaryota; Viridiplantae; Streptophyta; Magnoliopsida; Ranunculales; Ranunculaceae
Description: long non-coding RNA (ACOE_LNC000843)
Source: RNAcentral